This 372-nucleotide ribosomal RNA is filed under the name uncultured fungus. RNAcentral's name for it is "partial small subunit ribosomal RNA". It matches the Rfam family "Eukaryotic small subunit ribosomal RNA", at positions 30 to 432 of the family's 1831-position model. The record is from RNAcentral. Lineage: Eukaryota; Fungi.
GCUUGUCUCAAGAUUAAGCCAUGCAUGUCUAAGUAUAAGCCUUUAUAUGGUGAGACUGCGAAUGGCUCAUUAAAUCAGAAACUGUUUAUUUGAUAGUGCCUACUACAUGGAUACCUGUAGUAAUUCUAGAGCUAAUACAUGCACAAAAUCCCGACUUACGAAGGGAUGUAUUUAUUAGAUACAAACCAACAUCGUGGUGAUUCAUAAUAACUCGCGGAUCGGUUUACCGAUGCAUCAUUCAAGUUUCUGCCCUAUCAGCUUUGGAUGGUAGGGUAUUGGCCUACCAUGGCUUUAACGGGUAACGGAGAAUUAGGGUUCGAUUCCGGAGAGGGAGCCUGAGAAAUGGCUACCACAUCCAAGGAAGGCAGCAGG